GACAGAGGGUGCAAACGUUGUUCGGAAUUACUGGGCGUAAAGCGUGCGUAGGCGGCUGCGCAAGUCGGGUGUGAAACCCCGGGGCUCAACCCCGGAACUGCAUCCGAUACUGCGUGGCUAGAGGUAGGUAGGGGAGAUCGGAAUUCCUGGUGUAGCGGUGAAAUGCGCAGAUAUCAGGAGGAACACCGGUGGCGAAGGCGGAUCUCUGGGCCUUACCUGACGCUCAGGCACGAAAGCUAGGGGAGCGAACAGG
RNAcentral lists this ribosomal RNA (253 nucleotides) under uncultured bacterium. Its description in RNAcentral is "partial 16S ribosomal RNA". It matches the Rfam family "Bacterial small subunit ribosomal RNA", at positions 524 to 776 of the family's 1533-position model. The record is from RNAcentral.